Molecule: small RNA, 277 nt
Filed under: Peromyscus maniculatus bairdii (prairie deer mouse)
Lineage: Eukaryota; Metazoa; Chordata; Mammalia; Rodentia; Cricetidae
Description: 7SK RNA (ENSPEMG00000003055.2)
Source: RNAcentral
GGCAGGAGGGUAGUCUGGCUGUCACCCUCAGGGGUAAUCUGGUUAACCGGGCUGGCUAGCCAAGCGUCCCUUCCCACCCUCACUGUGCCAUGGGCAUCUUGACGCCUUCUACUCAGUUCGAGAGGACCACCUUUCUGGACAGAGAAGGGUGUUCCUUCAUCAACGGUACACAAGGGAGCUGUGCUGCCCACUAGAGCUUCCUUCAAGAAAACGGCCACUAGGUUGACUAUUUGUUUAAAUGAGAUUGACUUGAAACUCUUCUUACAUAAGUCUCUUU